RNAcentral lists this ribosomal RNA (1890 nucleotides) under Triticum aestivum (bread wheat). RNAcentral's name for it is "partial small subunit ribosomal RNA". The record is from RNAcentral. Lineage: Eukaryota; Viridiplantae; Streptophyta; Magnoliopsida; Poales; Poaceae.
AUGGUCGUGUGCCUCUGCCUCCUCUUCCUCUAUUUCUCGGGCUCCAAUGGGCAGGCUGGGAGCGCGGCACUAGAGUAUGGCACCAAGUUUUCUCGCUCGCUUGGGUGGGGCAGCGAUGGAGAUGGCGACGAUGGCUCAGAGGAGUCGAUUUUUGGGACUGGCGAUGUAAAUGACGUUAAGCUCAAGAGCUUCCCGGUGAGUUCAGGACCAGCAACCAGUUGGUUGUUAACAGUCUAUACAUACAUAUAUGAUGAUAAUUCUAAAGGUUUUUUCUUUUGCUUUGCUCCGAAGGUAUGCGAUGAUCGGCAUUCUGAGCUGAUCCCCUGCUUGGAUAGGAAUUUGAUAUAUCAGAUGAGGUUGAAGCUGGAUCUAAACUUGAUGGAGCAUUAUGAGCGGCAUUGCCCUCCUCCUGAGAGGCGAUUUAAUUGCCUGAUUCCACCGCCACAUGGCUAUAAGGUUCCCAUAAAAUGGCCAAAAAGUCGCGAUAUAGUGUGGAAAGCAAAUAUUCCUCACACUCACCUUGCAAAAGAGAAGUCAGACCAGAACUGGAUGAUUGAUGCAGGCGAAAAAAUUAAGUUUCCAGGUGGCGGAACACAUUUUCAUCAUGGAGCUGACAAAUAUAUAUCAAGCAUUGCAAAUAUGCUAAACUUCAAAGAUAACAUUAUAAACAAUGAGGGAAUGCUUCGUACUGUACUUGAUGUGGGCUGCGGAGUGGCUAGUUUUGGAGGAUAUCUUCUUUCAUCGAAUGUCAUAGCGAUGUCUUUGGCACCAAACGAUGUACAUCAGAACCAGAUCCAAUUUGCUCUUGAAAGGGGGAUCCCUGCUUAUCUUGGUGUUUUGGGAACAAAAAGGCUUCCAUACCCCAGUAGAUCGUUCGAAUUAGCCCACUGUUCUCGUUGCAGGAUUGAUUGGCUUCAGAGAGAUGGAAUUCUUAUGCUUGAACUGGACAGAUUACUCAGGCCUGGAGGUUAUUUUGCUUAUUCAUCUCCUGAGGCAUACGCACAGGAUGAGGAGGACCGUAGAAUCUGGAAAGAAAUGAGUUCCCUUGCAGAAAGGAUGUGCUGGAAAAUUGCAGAGAAAAAAAACCAGACAGUUAUUUGGGUCAAGCCUCUGAACAAUGAUUGCUACAGGAGCCGGCCGCGUGGUACAAAUCCACCUCUAUGCAAAAGUGGUGAUGAUCCAGAUUCAGUAUGGGGAGUGACAAUGGAAGCUUGCAUUACUCCAUAUCCAGAACAAAUGCACAGGGAUGGGGGAAGUGGAUUGGCUCCUUGGCCUGCUCGAUUAACAACCCCACCUCCUCGUCUUGCAGAUUUGUAUGUUACAGCUGACACAUUUGAAAAAGAUACGGAAAUGUGGCAGCAAAGAGUAGACAAUUAUUGGAAUUUAUUGCGCCCAAAGGUAAAACCAGAGAGUAUUAGAAACAUCAUGGACAUGAAAGCAAACUUUGGAUCAUUUGCUGCUGCUCUCAAGGAAAAGGAUGUAUGGGUGAUGAAUGCUGUGUCCCAUGAUGGACCAAACACUCUUAAGAUAAUCUAUGACAGAGGGCUCAUAGGCUCUACACACGACUGGUGUGAGGCAUUCUCUACUUAUCCUCGAACAUAUGAUCUUCUACAUGCGUGGACAGUCUUCACCGACCUUGAGAAAAGAGGUUGCAGUGCUGAAGAUCUGCUCCUUGAAAUGGAUCGUAUACUCAGGCCAACUGGUUUUAUCAUCGUGAGAGACAAGGCCCCUAUCAUUGUAUUCAUCAAGAAGUAUCUCAAUGCACUUCACUGGGAGGCAGUAACCGUUGUGGAUGGUGAGUCCAGUCCGGAAUCUGAGGAGAAUGAAAUGAUACUCAUAAUCCGGAAGAAAUUGUGGCUACCAGAAGCAGGUUCACAGGACUCGACGUAA